AACGAACGCUGGCGGCAGGCCUAACACAUGCAAGUCGAGCGAGGACUUCGGUCCUAGCGGCGGACGGGUGAGUAACGCGUGGGAACGUGCCCUAUGCUUCGGAAUAGCCCUGGGAAACUGGGAGUAAUACCGGAUGAGCCCUUUGGGGGAAAGAUUUAUCGGCGAAGGAUCGGCCCGCGUUGGAUUAGGUAGUUGGUGGGGUAAUGGCCUACCAAGCCGACGAUCCAUAGCUGGUUUGAGAGGAUGAUCAGCCACACUGGGACUGAGACACGGCCCAGACUCCUACGGGAGGCAGCAGUGGGGAAUCUUAGACAAUGGGGGAAACCCUGAUCUAGCCAUGCCGCGUGAGCGAUGAAGGCCUUAGGGUUGUAAAGCUCUUUCAGCUGGGAAGAUAAUGACGGUACCAGCAGAAGAAGCCCCGGCUAACUCCGUG
This 433-nucleotide ribosomal RNA is filed under the name uncultured bacterium. RNAcentral describes it as "partial 16S ribosomal RNA". It matches the Rfam family "Bacterial small subunit ribosomal RNA", at positions 29 to 507 of the family's 1533-position model. The record is from RNAcentral.